UGCAUAAAAUUCGUAGAAAAUUAUCACCCAUUACUUCUAGUGUUGUUCCUUACUGUUUUAAGUAUUUUUUUUAAGCUGUUUUGGAGUAUUUCAGUGUGUUUUGACAUAAAAUCCGAAAAUUCAUAAAAUUUGAAAAAUUGUUUUUGAAAUCUCAAAAGAGUUGUUUUGUGUGCUUAUUUGUGUCUUAGGGUACCUUCCAACACAAUGAUGAGGAUUCAGUUUGUAAUUGCAUG
This 233-nucleotide long non-coding RNA is filed under the name Malus domestica (apple). Its description in RNAcentral is "long non-coding RNA (MDOM_LNC009362)". The record is from RNAcentral. Lineage: Eukaryota; Viridiplantae; Streptophyta; Magnoliopsida; Rosales; Rosaceae.